GAUGAGCGCUGGCGGCGUGCCUAAUACAUGCAAGUCGAGCGAAUGGAUUAAGAGCUUGCUCUUAUGAAGUUAGCGGCGGACGGGUGAGUAACACGUGGGUAACCUGCCCAUAAGGCUGGGAUAACUCCGGGAAACCGGGGCUAAUACCGGAUAACAUUUUGAACCGCAUGGUUCGAAAUUGAAAGGCGGCUUCGGCUGUCACUUAUGGAUGGACCCGCGUCGCAUUAGCUAGUUGGUGAGGUAACGGCUCACCAAGGCAACGAUGCGUAGCCGACCUGAGAGGGUGAUCGGCCACACGGGGACUGAGACACGGCCCAGACUCCUACGGGAGGCAGCAGUAGGGAAUCUUCCGCAAUGGACGAAAGUCUGACGGAGCAACGCCGCGUGAGUGAUGAAGGCUUUCGGGUCGUAAAACUCUGUUGUUAGGGAAGAACAAGUGCUAGUUGAAUAAGCUGGCACCUUGACGGUACCUAACCAGAAAGCCACGGCUAACUACGUGCCAGCCGCCGCCGUAA
Molecule: ribosomal RNA, 515 nt
Filed under: uncultured bacterium
Lineage: Bacteria
Description: partial 16S ribosomal RNA
Rfam family: Bacterial small subunit ribosomal RNA
Source: RNAcentral